Molecule: long non-coding RNA, 202 nt
Organism: Thalassophryne amazonica
Lineage: Eukaryota; Metazoa; Chordata; Actinopteri; Batrachoidiformes; Batrachoididae
Exons: 2
Source: RefSeq, a predicted model, not a curated record
UUCUCCUUUUCCAGGGUGCAAUAGUUGAGCUCUCUGCUAAAAACCUGAAGGUAAUGGACCAGAUGCCUCCCUUGGUUCCAAGGCUUUUCAAACUGUGCUUGCACCCUCAGAUGGAGAACUCUAAGAAAACUGUCACUUUAUUUUUAAUCUAAACCUCCUCAGAGACAAAAGGUGAAAGUAAACAAUAUGAUGGGAGAUGACA